This 250-nucleotide ribosomal RNA is filed under the name uncultured bacterium. RNAcentral's name for it is "partial 16S ribosomal RNA". It matches the Rfam family "Bacterial small subunit ribosomal RNA", at positions 524 to 773 of the family's 1533-position model. The record is from RNAcentral.
UACGGGGGGUGCAAGCGUUGUUCGGAUUUAUUGGGCGUAAAGCGCGUGUAGGCGGUUUAUUAAGUCUGAUGUGAAAGCCCCGGGCUCAACCUGGGAAGUGCAUUGGAUACUGGUAGACUUGAAUACGGGAGAGGGAAGUGGAAUUCCUGGUGUAGGAGUGAAAUCCGUAGAUAUCAGGAGGAACACCGGUGGCGAAGGCGGCUUCCUGGACCGAUAUUGACGCUGAGACGCGAAAGCGUGGGUAGCAAAC